RNAcentral lists this long non-coding RNA (784 nucleotides) under Selaginella moellendorffii. Its description in RNAcentral is "long non-coding RNA (SMOE_LNC001950)". Lineage: Eukaryota; Viridiplantae; Streptophyta; Lycopodiopsida; Selaginellales; Selaginellaceae. The record is from RNAcentral.
UUUUUUUUUCCUUUUUGUUCUUCCCAAAUUCGUUUGCAUGCAAGCUUGGAUUUUUACGUUCUUGUUCCAGAUCAAACCAAACUACGUCCAAGUCGAGAAUGAUUCCGUCCAAAAGGGCCUUUUGAAGUCCAUCCAUGCACUGGAAAUCCAAAAGCUUGUUCUAGGAAGCGCUGGACGCACUGGCCUCACACGGUAAAAAAAAUGUAGAACAAACCUUCGCAAAACUUACAGGAUCGUGUUCUUCUUCUCCUCCUCCAGGAAGCUCUCUGGCCCAGGAACCGGAGAAUACGUCGCCGCUCGAGCGCCAAGCUUUUGCUCCGUCUGUGUGAUCGCCAAGGACAAGCUCCUCCCGAUCAAAGCUCUGGACGAUUCCCGGUCGAUCUCGUCCGCCUCUUCGCGAACCUCCGACUCGGAGCGAUCGUCGAGCUCGUCCUCCCAAGGUAGCGUUUUGCCUUCGUUCUUGCGGAAGCGUAGAGCGAGAAACGUGUCUUUGGAUCUAGCAGACUUGGACUCUCAUCCGCCUGCCCGUUUGCAUGGUUUGCCAGAAGGCCUUGGACAGAUGUGGAACGUCGGCUUCCUCUCGCGCUUUCUCUCCUCCGGAUCCCCCACCACCCGGCAGCAAGCUGUUCUAGCGUCCAGUCCUCCUCCGGAGAAUGCUCCGCUCGACGAGAUAAGUGGCGCCCGGGUCUUUGCUUCUCCGUUUCGUGAUCGAACAGGCGCGUCCUCGGAAGAGAUUGAGAUUGUGGAGCUCGGUGACGGUGCUGCUAGUGGAAGGAUGGCGCUG